GUUCAAACGAGGAAGGGAUUAUGGUGGAUACCUAGGCACCCAGAGAUGAGGAAGGGCAUGAAAAGCGAUGAAAUUCUUCUGGGAGUUGAAAAUGAGCAUAGAUCCAGAGAUUCCCGAAUAGGUUAACCUUUUUAACUGUUGCUUAAUCCAUGGGAAAGUAAGAGACAACCUAGAAAACUUAAACAUCUUAGUAGCUAGAGGAAUAGAAAGCAAAAGCGAUUCCCAUAGUAGCGGCGAGAGAAAUGGGAGUAGCCUAAACCGUGAAAACAGGGUUGUGGGAGAGCACAAUAUAAGAUUUGUGCUACUAGGCGAAGCAGUUGAGUCCUGCACCCUAGAUGGUGAGAGUCCAGUAGCCAAAAGCAUCAUUGGGUUACGCUCUAACCCGAGUAGCAUGGUGCACAUGGAAUAUCGUGUGAAUCAACAAGGACCACCUUGCAAGGCUAAAUACUCCUGGGUGAUCGAUAGCGAAGUAGUACCAUGAGGGAAAGGUGAAAAGAACCCCCAUCGGGGAGUGAAAUAUAACAUGAAACAAUAAUCUCCCAAGUAGUGGGAGGAAAAUGAUAUCUCUAACCGUGUGCCUAUUGAAGAAUGAGACGGUGACUUAUAGGCAGUGGCUUGGUUAAGGGAACCCACCAGAUUCGUAGCGAGAGAGAGUCUUCAUGGGGAAAUUGUCACUUCUUAUGGACCCGAACCUGGGUGAUCUAUCCAUGGGCACGAUGAAGAUUGGGUGAAACUAAGUGGAGGUCUGAACCGACCGAUGUUGAAAAAUUAGUGGAUGAGUCCUAGUUAGGGGUGAAAUGCCACUCGAACGCAGAGCUAGUUGGUUCUCCCUGAAAUGCGUUGAGGCACAACAGUUGACUGGAUCAUCUAGGGGUAAAGCGUUGUUUCAGUAUGGGCCAUGAGAGCGGUACCAAAUCGAGGAAAAAUAUGAAUACUAGAUUGCCCCAAUAAAAUGGGUAAAGGUCAGCCAGUGAGAUGAUGGGGGAUAAGCUUCAUCGUCGAGAGGGAAACAACCCAGAUCAUCAGCUAAUGCCCCUAAAUGACCUCUCAGUGAUGAAGGAAGUAUGAGUGCAAAGACAACCAGGGGGUUUUCCUAGAAGCAACCAACCUUGAAAGAGUGCGUAAUAGCUCACUGAUCGAGUGCUCUUGCGCCGAAGAUGAACGAGACUAAGCGAUCUGCCAAAGCUAUGGGAUGUAAAAAUACAUCGGUAGGGGAGAAUUUUGCCUCAGAGGGAAGCACCGAUGUGAGCAGGUGUGGAAAAAGCGAAAGAGAUAAUGUUGGAUUGAGUAACGCAAACAUUGGUGAGAAUCCAAUGCCCCAAAAACCUAAGGGUUCCUCUGCAAGGUUUGUCCAUGGAGGUUGAGUCAGGGCCUAAGAUUAGGCCGAAAGGUGUAGUCGAUGGACAACAGGUUAAUAUUCCUGUGCUGCCCCUUGUUGGUCCAGAGGGAUGGAGGAUGCUAGGUUAGCCGAAAUAUGGCUAUCGGUUCAAGGAUGCAAGGUGACCCUCUAUACAUUGAUUCAAAGGUAAAAUAAGAAUCAAAUAUAGGUGUGUACAAGGUGAGGUUGGGGGUGGAUAUUACUCAUCAUCUACUCUAGCACACAAAAAUCCAAGAUUUAUUAUCCAAACAUUAUAGGAUGAACAAAAUCAUGUACGAGAGCCCAUAUCAUCAAUGAGAGUGAGUAUACCUCCUAGGAGAUAUGUUAACCAUAUUGUAUUAGAUUCUUUCAUUUGAUAUCUUUACAAUUGUUUUGAGGAGGUGAUGUGUGAUACUUUGUUGGAUGAGUGUGAUGUUUGGGGG
Molecule: non-coding RNA, 1800 nt
Organism: Picea glauca (white spruce)
Lineage: Eukaryota; Viridiplantae; Streptophyta; Pinopsida; Pinales; Pinaceae
Source: Rfam